This 330-nucleotide ribosomal RNA is filed under the name uncultured bacterium. RNAcentral's name for it is "bacterial SSU rRNA". It matches the Rfam family "Bacterial small subunit ribosomal RNA", at positions 568 to 898 of the family's 1533-position model. The record is from RNAcentral.
UCCGUAGGCGGUGCGGCAAGUCGGGGGUGAAAUCUCUGGGCUUAACUCAGAGGCUGCCUCCGAAACUGCCGUGCUCGAGUGCGGGAGAGGCGAGCGGAAUUGCAGGUGUAGCGGUGAAAUGCGUAGAUAUCUGCAGGAACACCCGUGGCGAAAGCGGCUCGCUGGACCGUUACUGACGCUGAGGGACGAAAGCUAGGGGAGCAAACAGGAUUAGAUACCCUGGUAGUCCUAGCCCUAAACGAUCAGGACUUGGGGUGUCCCGCGUCCGCGGGAUGUCCCGGAGCUAACGCGUUAAGUCCUGCGCCUGGGGAGUACGGUCGCAAGACUGAA